This is an RNA transcript of Arachis stenosperma, 2197 nucleotides long. RefSeq lists it as uncharacterized. NCBI's taxonomy places the organism in Eukaryota, Viridiplantae, Streptophyta, Magnoliopsida, Fabales, Fabaceae. The record is from RefSeq and is a predicted model, not a curated record. The transcript has 11 exons.
UAGUUUAAACUUUUUAAGCCCAAUUUUCUAAACCAAUAACCAAUCCCUAACCUACUCUGAUUAAACCCAAACAAUGCAAAGUUAACUCCAACAAAAAACUUGUCCAAAAAAAUCGAAAGGGGAGAAGAUUGAGAAUGAACCCUAGAUCUACUAGCCGCCGCGGUACUAAUCUCUUCGCCAUUGUCACCAUCAGGCAUCAAGCUCACCGUAGCGUCUGAGAUGAAAGGGAGAGUAACCGGCGACGCCCGCGACGCCAUCCUUCCCAAGGUCCAGGAGCAGGUUUCCAUCCUCAACUCCACUUUCUCAUGGAAGGAGUCAGAUCGAGCCGCCGCCAAGCGCGCCACUCACACGCUCGCCGAUCUUGCCAAAAAUGAGGAAGUGGUGAACGCGAUUAUCGAAUGAGGAGCUAUUCCGGCUUUAGUUCAACAAUCAGCACCUCCAAGCUCCUCUCGUCACGGAAGAAGACCUCAUUCAGAAGCUGUUGCGUUUGAGUAUGAGGUUGAGAAAGUGAAAGUAGUAAUGGAAUCAAAGUGCUUAAUGCUAAAAACACAAUGCAGAAAGCAAAGGAAAAGAAUCUAAAGGGUUACAGAGAGAAGCAACAAUUCUCCACAGAGUCUUCAAUAACUUCUAUGUGUGUGGUGGAAACUGCAGGUGGAGUUGCGAGUCUCGGUGCUUCUGGAUCACUUUAAUGUGACUUAUAUAAGUGAAUUUGGUGCUCCAGAAUUUUGAUACUUUAGUUACAAUUUCAAUUUCAAAUGAAUAUAUGUCUCAAUUUAUAUGUUAAUGCAAAAGGCUUGCACAUUUUUCUAGGUCCGCUAUUUGCAAUUUCUGGAACAAUUUCUGCUUAUGAGAGCUUGACUCUUCGAGGUUAUGAUGUUGUUGCUGUUGUUUUGGAAGAUCACGGCCUUCUAAAUGAGGGUCGAAUAAUGUCUUAUAUGCGGAACAAGCUUCCUGUUCUAGUACUACCCCCUGUUCCAAAAGGUGUCAUUAUAUGGUGAUAAGUGAUAACUUGUUACUACAUGAUUCUAGUUUGUUGGUUUUUUUAAAGGCUCAGAGCACAGAAGUUGUAGCUCUGCUAUUUGAUGCCUGUGCUAGUUGGUGGACUCAAGGACCUAAUGCUAUAUUACAGAUUAUGCUUCUAGAAGCCGUUGUAAUAGUUAUGGCACCAAGAGACAGUUCAAGAUUAUAUCAUUGGAACUGAAGCCAUCCAGAGUUUGUGAGAUAAGUCUGAGAAGUGUUACAUUCUAGAUUAUAUCAUUGUGCUCAGAGUCUUGUAGCUGCUGUUUCCUCAUAUCGACUCUACUCCAUAAUGUGUUGUUCUGCCAAAAUAGUUGCUUCUUGGGGUUACUUUCUUCAGAGUAAAAUAGUUAAUUACAGUGUGUAGCAGAUGCUAAUCCACACAUAACUUAUAGAAAGAAGUUUUCAAUAUUGAACCAAUAGGAUUAAUUCUCGGUCCAAUUAAAGUAAAUUAAAUUGAAUUAACAAGAAAAAUGGGGUAAAUUUAGGAAAACUAGAUAAGAAGCAGGUACUAUGCUAUUCUUGAGUCAUAGAGGGUUUGUCAUUCCUGCAAAUUGACAAAAGCUUGACAUCAAGACCAAAAUGAGGAUGAGAAAACAGAAUUCAACAAAUUAAUGAGUGAAGACAGUGGCUCGGAUUGUGGAAAGUGAUGCAAGGAAAGUAAUUUGCAAGGAAGUAGAGAGGAUCAAACCUGUGGCUGUAGUUCUGGGAUCAAGAGGCAGAAGCUUAAUUCAGAGUGUGCUACAGGGAAGUGUUGGAGAGUACUGCUUCCACCACUGCAAAGCAGCACCUGUUGUCAUCGUUCCUAGAAAAGAUGCUGGAGAUGCAUCAAUAUUGUAGUGAAGCUUUGUACGUAUGUCAAUUGGCCUUGUUAAUAUAUCUAACAGUCAUGUUUAGUGAAAUGAAGAUUGGUUCUGACUCAUUUUCACCAAGAAUAGAGAUGUUUUUCUUGUAUAUUUUCACAUGUUAACCACUAGCAUGUUAUUAAUUCAAUGGCUUAGUAACUCAUUUUCUCAUUGUGCUAUUUAGACUUUCUUUGAUGUUACAAAGCAUCUGGACAACUUUAUUUUUUGAAUAGGUUUAUUUGAGUUGCUGUUAGAUUCUACUGGUAUAAAUAUACUAUUCAUUUGUAGUUGUAAUUAAUGUGAUUAAAAAAUGAUGGUAGUGUACUAUAUUUUGU